This 516-nucleotide ribosomal RNA is filed under the name Balssiathelphusa natunaensis. RNAcentral describes it as "partial 16S ribosomal RNA". The record is from RNAcentral. Lineage: Eukaryota; Metazoa; Arthropoda; Malacostraca; Decapoda; Parathelphusidae.
UCUAUUUGAAGUUAUAAAAAGUCUAACCUGCUCCUGAUAUUAGUAUUAAAGGGCCGCAGUAUUAUGACUGUGCAAAGGUAGCAUAAUCACUAGGUUUUUAAAUGAGAUCUUGUAUGAAUGGUUGAACAAAGGAAAAUCUGUCUUUAUAUUAAAAUUUGAAUUUUACUUUUAAGUGAAAAGGCUUAAAUGUUUUAGAGGGACGAUAAGACCCUAUAAAGCUUUACAUUAUAAUUAUAUUUAGUUUAAUUUAAGUAAUAAAAAUUUAAUAUAAAUUUUGUUGUGUUGGGGAGACAUAAGUAGAAAUAAUAGUAUCUGCUUUUUAAAUAAUCAUUAGUUUAUGAUAAAUAAUAGUAGUUGAUCCUAAUUUAUAGAUUUUAAGUUUAAGUUACUUUAGGGAUAACAGUAUAAUUUAUUUUGAGAGUCCAUAUUGAAAAAUGAAAUUAUAACCUCGAUGUUGAAUUAAAAUAUCUUUAUAAUGUAGUCAUUAUAAAUGAAGGUCUGUUCGACCUUUAAAUU